Molecule: RNA transcript, 2195 nt
Organism: Gossypium raimondii (Peruvian cotton)
Lineage: Eukaryota; Viridiplantae; Streptophyta; Magnoliopsida; Malvales; Malvaceae
Exons: 3
Source: RefSeq, a predicted model, not a curated record
CUCUCAAUCACCUCUUUUCUUCCUAAACUUUCAAGUCAAUUCUUAUUCUUCUUUUUCAUGUGCUUUCUACCCUGUUUGUUCUUCUUGUGUUUGCAGCUUCUUCUUUUCUAGAAAAAUUGAUACUAUAAUCAAUUGUAUAUGACAUAUUAACAGAUAGUUUAACCUUGCAUGAGUCUUUACCUUUUUCUUUAUUUGGUUAAUUGGAGAUUAUGGUAGAUUUGGCUAUCUUUCCCAUGAUUAUGUUGGACAGACAUAAAUGAUACAUAGUAGAUCUUUGCAGCCUACCUCAUGUAACCUCCUCAAAUAUUAUGUACUAAUUCUUAAUGAUAGUUAUAAUCAGUGAAAACUAGGUUAAAUAUGAGUUAGUGGAAACAAUUAUUAAUCUUUGAACUCUUUUUUCUUACCUUAGAAACUGCUGUUAGUAAUUAUAAUUAUAUUGGAGAUAUUGAAAAAUGAUGGCUUGGUAUCAUCCUAUUAGGACCCAGAUUUAAAUAAAUUCAGAAUUCCCAACAUAACAUCUAAAUUCAGCAACUAAAAAGUGACAAAAGUUUGGAAAAAGGAAACCAAUAGGCCAUUCUUUUUUUAAGGGUCUCCAGACAAGAAGGCCAAUGCUUUUUAUUCCUUUAGGUUUGCUUGUUGGGACAAGGUAUAGUAUUGAUUAAGCUAGGCAUCAUCAGGAUCAUGUACCAUCAUUCAAAUUCAAGAAAAAGUGUACUGCUGGGAUUAUCAUAUAACUUUGUCCUUACAUUUGCAAUUGGGUAUAAAUCUAGCUGGUCUCAGCCCCUACUUUGUUUCAUUUACAAAUGGUGGCUGUGGCUGCCUUAUUUUUCCAGGGCAGUGUUAAGAGGUGUAUAGGAUGGGGGGGAUAAGUUGAUGUUUGCAGCUCUUAAUUCCAAGUACCAAAACCCAAGUUUUUUUAACUUGUUUAAAGAAUCUCAUUAAAAAACUCUGCUGGUUUUUCCACUCUUGAGACUAUCUCGAGUCAUUAAUGAGGAAGGGCAUUUUCUGAGAAGAAUAACCUGCAACUACUACUAAAUCUGCUUUAUUUCACAAGUACUGUUUGUUCCUACAAAAACGAGCCAUGAAUGAGUUUGGAACUGGAAGGUCAGUGCCAUGGAACAUAUACCCAAGUUCAGAUCCGACUCCAUCUCAACCAGUACUUGAUAAGGAAACUCCAUUGAAAAACUUGGGGACAUCCAUGAAUGCCAUUUCUUUUGGCUUUGUUGCUACUGCCAUCUUGAUAUCAAUGUUUGUUAUCAUGGCCAUCUUUGAACACCUUUUUCAGCCAAAUCCUGCUUUUUCUUCCCCCAGUCAAGACGGUGCUGUAGGAUCUGGUGCAGCUGAAAAACUCGGGAAUCCACAAAGUGUAAGCUUCUAUCUCUUCAGGCUGUAAAGUUGUAAUAUACCCCAUGGUAAAAUUAUCGUAUGGUCCUUAGGAGUCGGAUUGUAUUUUGCUCGCUUUACUCAUAACAUGAGCAAAUUCGUCUCCAUACAAUAGCUUUCACCUCAAAAUGAGAUACAUUAAUUCUAAUUGUUUGGUUAUUCUGUCAAUCAUAUUAAUUUUUAACAGUAAAAAAUGAACAAAUUUUUAACAACAUAUAAAGGUUAAUUAGCCUACUUUUUGAAUAAAGGGAGAAAUGCAAUAUGAGUCUUACUAUAAUGACUUUCAUGGUACUUUUACAUACCCAGUUUCCUUUCUCUUUUUGUUUUGCAUUGUCUGCAUGCUCUUUUGGCAGCAUUCCUUUAAGAACAAGGGAACUUCAAACAGAUAAUCCUCCAUUAAGCUAAAAACCCUUUGGCCCUCUGAAUGGCUUGCCAAUUUCUCAGAGCUAGGAUGAGAACCACAUUAAGGAAAUGCAGCCGGCAUCGACAUCAUAUGCAACUGAUUUGUCAGUAGUGAUGCCAGGAGAACCUCAUCCUACCUAUAUAGCUCAACUUGCUCCCCUCCCUUGCCCAAGGGAAGGCAUCUAUUGGCCUCCCCAUGAACAUAAUUUUGUAUAUCCUUAAACAUACAUCAUCCAUGUAUGAUGCAUUUAUAUUUAUCAGCAAUCAACCUUCCUUUCUUCUAUACUAUUUAUCCAAUGAAAUAUUAUUACCUCUUGAAGCUGGUUUGCGAGCCCUCAUUUUUGGGGUAAAUCUGUCAAAUAUCACAGAUGACCUAUUUGGAAAAUGCAAAUUCCUCUGUUACAAAUUUA